AGUGGCCCAACAGGUGAUCAACGGGAAAGCGGCAGUGCUUGCCACACACGGGAGGCCAGCAGGUGGCACCAGGGGGCCGCCCGGCUGCUCUCUUUGCGCCCUAGCCUGCCGUAGUUCCCAGCGUGCUCCGGAAGUGACGCGACCGAUUCGCUGGGGCGCGUCUUUCCCACCACGAGGCCACCAGGGUGACUGCGGGAUUCCGAUCUGCGCCGGAGCUGCGAUGCUAGAGCACUCUUGCCACCCCCACCCCACGGACGUGUUGCAGUGAUAUCAGAAUUUUGCGUGCGGUUUACCCGUGUUUAACCUCUUUGCGUCUCGCUUCUGAAUCGUAUCCACUUGAGCAUCACUAGACUGAUCUAUUUUAACACUGGUGGGGGGCAGCGAGGACAUGGUUUUAAACUUUAAAAUGAAAAUGUGAAACUAGGAAUGUUGCUGUGAGACCCCUUGGACAAACAGAUUUUUGCACUGGGGAUAGAACUUGAGCAAUUUCUGUCUUGGCCUCGCCACUGACGUCCCUUCUUUCCUGUGGGGACAGGAUGGACAGAUUCCUGGUGAAAGGGGCUCAAGGGGGCCUUUUGAGGAAGCAGGAGGAGCAAGAGCCAACUGGAGAAGAGCCAGCUGUGUUGGGAGGAGACAAAGAAAGCACAAGGAAGAGGCCCAGGAGAGAGGCCCCAGGGAAUGGAGGCCACUCAGCAGGCCCUAGCUGGCGGCACAUUCGGGCUGAGGGCCUGGACUGCAGUUACACAGUCCUGUUUGGCAAAGCUGAGGCAGAUGAGAUUUUCCAAGAGUUGGAGAAAGAAGUAGAAUAUUUUACAGGUAAGCAGAGGGGUGUGUGUGUGUGUGUGUGUGCAUUGAGGGCUUGUUUGGUGCAAUUAAUGAUCGUAUGUUUGGAGAAAUCUGAACUCAGGAUCCAUUAUUUACUGAUGGGUUCACUAAUGGAUUCAUCCAAUAUUCUCUGAGCACCUCUGGGCUAAGCCCCUUAGGUGCUUGGGACAUAAACUUGAAAGAAACUGGAUUGCCUGUCUACUAGGAGCUGACAGAUGACUCGAGUGAAUCUCUCCUUGGCUA
Molecule: long non-coding RNA, 1068 nt
Filed under: Homo sapiens (human)
Lineage: Eukaryota; Metazoa; Chordata; Mammalia; Primates; Hominidae
Description: non-protein coding lnc-ALKBH2-1:1
Source: RNAcentral